ACAGAUAUCGUAUAAUGGUUAUUACUCUCGACUUCCACUCGAAAAAUGUCAGUUCGAUUCUGACUAUCUGUA
Macrophomina phaseolina MS6 is the source of this 72-nucleotide transfer RNA. It matches the Rfam family "tRNA". From Rfam's summary of the family: Transfer RNA (tRNA) molecules are approximately 80 nucleotides in length. Their secondary structure includes four short double-helical elements and three loops (D, anti-codon, and T loops). NCBI's taxonomy places the organism in Eukaryota, Fungi, Ascomycota, Dothideomycetes, Botryosphaeriales, Botryosphaeriaceae. The record is from Rfam.